This is a long non-coding RNA of Xenopus laevis (African clawed frog), 496 nucleotides long. RefSeq lists it as uncharacterized. The transcript is spliced from 2 exons. The record is from RefSeq and is a predicted model, not a curated record. NCBI's taxonomy places the organism in Eukaryota, Metazoa, Chordata, Amphibia, Anura, Pipidae.
CUGACUGGCCAAUUACACGAGUGUCGCUUUUCUGGCUGCCCUAGAACCUUACAACAAAAGGGCUUUCCAUUUCAAAAAGCUGGAGUGUCCGUGUCUCCCCCUCCCCCAAGUAACUCCAUCUUUUGGAAAGUUUCUAAUAAUUGGACAAUCCCAGAUAUAAUGAAAGAAGUCAACAUUCUUCUCUGUACAUUUUGGACAAAAAGAAACCUUCUGAGAGCUAUCACAGUUUUGGAACAAUAAGCCAUAACCUAAAUGAAUGAGCCGGAAAUGUUGGUCUCUCCAGGACUCAGAACAUAUAUUCUUUCUAAAAUUUUGGAAAGAAUGUAGAAGUUCCCUGGAAGAAACAUCAGUUCCCAAAAAUGAAGACCAUUUUUUGCUCGAAUUCUCUAGUGGAUCUAAAUCCUUGGAGACUGACUUUAAAAGAUGUAAUGAGAUCCAUGAAAUAUUAUUUAGUUUAAUAUCAUCAACCAACUGUAAUAAAUCUUUAUAAAACUGA